GAGUCGGAGUGCCCUGAAAUGUCUUGAAAUAUUAAUGGGCAAAUUUUGGGGUAUGACAGCUGCCCCUGUUCAAUAUUCUUGAACCGAGAGAGUAGAAUGGUAUGUGCCGCAUUCGUGGUCUGGAGGUGGAAGAUUAUUGAACACUAGAAUGCCCCGAAAAUUUGCGCUUGUCAAUUGGUCUUGAUGGAGAUGGGCUUAAAGAUGCCAUCCAGGAAGUUUG
RNAcentral lists this long non-coding RNA (220 nucleotides) under Lathyrus oleraceus (garden pea). Its description in RNAcentral is "Pisum sativum (pea) long non-coding RNA (PSAT_LNC034342)". Lineage: Eukaryota; Viridiplantae; Streptophyta; Magnoliopsida; Fabales; Fabaceae. The record is from RNAcentral.